UUGUCUCCUCUUUUAAAUUUUCCUUUUCGAGGAGCUUUUUCAAAAUUUCUUUGUAUUCAGGGAUCUACUGCAAGGCUUCUGUCAUAAGAACUUUUAUCCUCAAUUCUUUGAAGACUUCUUCAAGGCACCCUGCUUGUAUUUUUCCUGUAACAUGUUCUUCAGGGCGCUUGAUAUUUUUUUCAAAUUUUUUUUUCUUUUUUUCUCUCAAUUAACCUCUUCUUUUUCUAUCUCACUCAACUUCUUUUUCACUUUCUUCUUUUUUCUCACCCUCACUCAAUCUUUCUUCCUCAAUUUUUUAUCUCUCUCUUCUCUUUUUUCGCUCUCUUUUUCUUCCCUAUCUUCUUCUCUCUCAUCUUCAGUGCUUGUUAUAGCCCUACAUUUUUCCUUGGGGUUAACCUCAGUAUUAGCCCCAAAAAUUUUAUGCACCUUCUCUUGCAUUUGUUGGACCGUUUGGAUUAAUUAGCCCAUCUGUCUUUCCAGGUUCUUGAUAGUCGCGUCUGUGCUUCUUUGGUUAGAGUGGGUUGCCUACAUGAAUUGAUGGAGAGUUUCUUCAAGCUUUGCAGAUUUGUCUGAUGAAGAGGGUUGUUGCUGCCACUGUUGUUGCUGCUGUGGUGGCUUAUUGUAUUGUCCACCAGUUUGUCCAAAUUGCCCUUGUCCAUUACUUGGGUGAGAUUUCCACCCUUGAUAGUUGGUAUUGGAGCAGAACUGAUUCUGAUUGCCCAUUUAUUUAACUUCUUCAUUGAGAUUCUCGGGUAUUGCACAUUGACCAUUGAG
This 774-nucleotide long non-coding RNA is filed under the name Vigna radiata. Its description in RNAcentral is "long non-coding RNA (VRAD_LNC015794)". Lineage: Eukaryota; Viridiplantae; Streptophyta; Magnoliopsida; Fabales; Fabaceae. The record is from RNAcentral.